Molecule: ribosomal RNA, 839 nt
Filed under: uncultured bacterium
Lineage: Bacteria
Description: bacterial SSU rRNA
Rfam family: Bacterial small subunit ribosomal RNA
Source: RNAcentral
GGCUCAGGAUGAACGCUGGCGGUAUGCUUAACACAUGCAAGUCGAACGGAAUCUUUAGGGAUUUAGUGGCGGACGGGUGAGUAACGCGUGAGAAUUUGGCUUCAGGUCGGGGACAACCACUGGAAACGGUGGCUAAUACCGGAUAUGCCGGAAGGUGAAAGGCUUGCUGCCUGAAGAUAAGCUCGCGUCUGAUUAGCUAGUUGGUGGGGUAAGAGCCUACCAAGGCGACGAUCAGUAGCUGGUCUGAGAGGAUGAUCAGCCACACUGGGACUGAGACACGGCCCAGACUCCUACGGGAGGCAGCAGUGGGGAAUUUUCCGCAAUGGGCGAAAGCCUGACGGAGCAAUACCGCGUGAGGGAGGAAGGCUCUUGGGUCGUAAACCUCUUUUCUCAGGGAAGAAAAAAAUGACGGUACCUGAGGAAUAAGCAUCGGCUAACUCCGUGCCAGCAGCCGCGGUAAUACGGAGGAUGCAAGCGUUAUCCGGAAUGAUUGGGCGUAAAGGGUCCGCAGGUGGUACUGUAAGUCUGCUGUUAAAGAGCAAGGCUCAACCUUGUAAAAGCGGUGGAAACUACAGAACUAGAGUGCGUUCGGGGCAGAAGGAAUUCCUGGUGUAGCGGUGAAAUGCGUAGAUAUCAGGAAGAACACCGGUGGCGAAAGCGUUCUGCUAGGCCGCAACUGACACUGAGGGACGAAAGCUAGGGGAGCGAAUGGGAUUAGAUACCCCAGUAGUCCUAGCCGUAAACGAUGGAUACUAGGCGUGGCUUGUAUCGACCCGAGCCGUGCCGGAGCUAACGCGUUAAGUAUCCCGCCUGGGGAGUACGCACGCAGUGUGAAACUC